Molecule: long non-coding RNA, 216 nt
Filed under: Sorghum bicolor (sorghum)
Lineage: Eukaryota; Viridiplantae; Streptophyta; Magnoliopsida; Poales; Poaceae
Description: long non-coding RNA (SBIC_LNC018246)
Source: RNAcentral
CAACUUCUAAAAAAAUAUUGGGAACAAAAAAAAAAGAACUUCAUUUCCAACAGUAUUCUAAAAAUCACUUCCAAUAAAUCAAAUAUUGACCCCACGACUUUUUACAACAAUCUUCUUUUUUCCCCGCACGAUGUCGUAGCUCGUGCGAAACCUUCUCGCCGCCGCCGCCGCGACUUCCCAGCCAACCGCUGCUGCACCUCCCAGCAGGCAGUCAGG